Molecule: long non-coding RNA, 1407 nt
Filed under: Vulpes vulpes (red fox)
Lineage: Eukaryota; Metazoa; Chordata; Mammalia; Carnivora; Canidae
Description: lncRNA (ENSVVUG00000012907.1)
Source: RNAcentral
AUGGCUCCCACUUUGAUGUCCGGAUCCCUCCCUUCUCCCUGGAAAGCAAUAAAGAUGAGAAAACACCACCUUCAGGCCUUCACUGGUGAGUGCCUAGGCUCAGCCCCUGAAGAACAGCUCUCAUCCCACAAUUGCUGCAGAACUCUCCCUCCACCAUGGGCCACAGUGGGUCUUUUUAUCAUUUGUGUCAUUUGAUUGUGGGGUUCUUUUCCAGUGCAUGGGUGUAAUCAUUUUCUCCAGAAGAUCUGUGUAGGACUCCUCCAAGGCUGGCCUCCUCUGUAAGCCCUGGCUACACUGUGUUCCAGUAAAGCUUUCCACCAGGAAUUCUAUGUUCAGCUGUCACAGGCCUGGGGUUUCCCCUGUCACCCNUUUUUAAACUAAAACUUAACAACUCGAUAAACUUUUUUUUUGGUAAACUUAAAAUAAAAUACCCCCCACCACUUUUAAGAAUGUCUCCAACUUUUAACAAGCCCAUUAACUUUAGAGUUAAUUUAAGUUUAUUUGAAAGAGAAAACUAUUUUAUUGUCCACCCAAAAAAAUGACAAUUCAUCACAUUUACUUUGAUUAAAAAAGGACUAAACUUUAUUGACAAACUGCUGCAGACAUUUUGACAUAAGUUUAAGCUACCUAUUUAGGCAGACUUACACAUAUAGCAUUUAAUCUUCCAAGAACAAAAUGGGAGGACGGUACAAAUCCAAUUAGGACUUUAACUUAUGUACAAAGCGGAUUUUGAUUCCUUUUUCAUUCAGCUGCAGUGUCCCUUUUUAUAUCAUGCUAGUGUUGAGACAUACUUGACUAACUACCUUGGGAACAGUUCAAUAUUGACAACUGUCAACUUAAAAAAAUCAUCAGUUUUUGGCUCCAGUGUCCAAGUGAGCUUUUCAUGGAGUGCAGACCUCAGAUGGACAAAACACUUUGUCUUUUUUAAAUACUGCCCUGCCCCCUGCCCAAGGCUGGCUUCACCGGUGGCGUGGUGGUGGACUUCCCCAAUAGCACCAAGGCAAAGAACCCCUGAAUGAGAGUAACGAGAGUAAUGAGGAAGAGGAAGUCCAGGAGUCCGUGUUCACAAGAGAGAGGAUCCCAUACAGGAUCGCGUGCCGUGGGGUGGUAAGGAAGAGCCGUGAGUGGGUGCUGGAGAAGAAGGAGCGCCGUAGGCGGCAGGGCAAGGAGGUCAGACCUGACGCCCAGUACACCAGCCGCAACUGCAAGCCCCGCUUCUAGGUGGUUUGCUUAGGCUGCACGCGGUUAUUACAGGUGAGUUUUCUCUCUUGAAGUGCCUACAUCCGUCAGAUGACAAAAAUAUUGUUUUAGAAAAGUUUUCAUGUUCUAACGGCUUCUCUUCACUUAACAAAAGUUUUAAUAGCAUCUUAUUUUGUUCUAAAAGCAAUAAACCACUUCUGUGACACA